Triticum aestivum (bread wheat) is the source of this 1717-nucleotide long non-coding RNA. RefSeq lists it as uncharacterized. NCBI's taxonomy places the organism in Eukaryota, Viridiplantae, Streptophyta, Magnoliopsida, Poales, Poaceae. The record is from RefSeq and is a predicted model, not a curated record. The transcript is spliced from 2 exons.
CUGAAGCAAGACAAGACAUCUGCAGCCAUCAUAUACCUAGAACCUUUUUCUGAAGCAUGAUGUGAUGUGAUAGUUGCACUAAUAAUAAGAGCAUUGAUAACAGUGAGGUCGUAGUAGCUAACUUUGCAGGCAUGAUUAAUUCGUAAUGGAGAUCGAGGCUGAUUAUUUAGUCUCGUUCCUGGCCAUACCCAUACCCAUACUUGCACACACACCCAUCAUGGUCAUGGGACCAUGAAGUCAUGGUCCUCAUCGAUAGGGGGUGGAUUCAUUCCAGCCCGUCAAAACUGACCACCCAAGUAGACUAGACCAGGAAACCUCGGUUCGUUCAAAAAAUAAAGUCAGGAUUCACAAUCAAACCACCAAGAGGAAAGAACAAGAGACUCCGGGUCCGGCUUGGCGCCAGAUGGAGUAAACAAGAACAGACAAAGUUCCAUCCUCUAUUUUUUUCCUUUACUACAGAACCAAAAUUUGCCGAAAAAGGCUUUCGCCCCGCUUUAUACAUAAAGCAUCGGCCAUACAAACACACCGAUACAAACACACGUCACCACCGCACACGACACACACCAAGGCAAAAUACAAAGGUGCCAAGCACCACCACGCCACCCCAACGACUACCAAACAACAUGAAUUGCUUGGAGCCAACAGAGACCUCCAUCGCAAUUUUCCGAGGAGAGGCGAGGCGGAUAACGACGGAGCAGGGACUCUAGGACGGUGCCUCCAGAAGGGCACGACUAUGGGUAGCCGCCACCGUCCGAUCCCGAAGAUCAAGUUUUCACCUGGAGCAUCACGAAGGAGUGGGAACACCGCGACGGAGCCUUCAUGAAGGAUACGGCGUCCACGGACGUCGCCACCGUCGGCCCUUGAGCAAGUGGUGUACCCCGGCGCUCACACCCCUCCAACACACCCUACCUCCGCCAACCACCCGCAACCAAACCACUCGUGUGGCCAGAACCAAAAUUUAGCAACUAAAUUGUUCCAGUUCGGAGUUUUGAGAGAUUUUUUUUUCUAUGAUUUCUAGAGGUCGACUAGCACAAAGCCGUGUUCCACACCUACAAAAGACAAACAACAGUCACCAUGGCCACCGACGUGUGGGCCCAUCGAGCUGUGUUAGUUACAAAACAGUGUUGCCACUUGUGCUUAGGUGGUGGUGCUGAGCAGGAAAAAAAACUGUGGUACACAGGUGCAGCUGCCCUCCCAGCCUAUAAAACCCCACCCACAUCUCCUUCCUCUUCCAAUCCUACAUCUUCCCAAAGCCGGUCACAGGAGAGCAGAGCAGAAUCCUUGGAGAGUAUCUUCUUCUUCCAUAGUAACCCACUCCACCCUUUGCCAAGAUGUACAACGCUCCGUCGGGGCAGGAGAUGUCCUACACGGAGCACGUGCAGAAGCGCCACGAGGAGAAGGGCUGCAUCUAUGCAUGCGUGUUCACGGCGUUGUGCUGCUUCUGCUGCUACGAGACCUGCGAGUGCUGCCUCGACUGCCUCUGCUGCUGCUGCAACUAAAACAGCCAUGGCCGCCAUGGACGGACGGAGGCUGCAAGGCGGAGCGGAUAUCCACCGGCCUCCGCCGCCUUUCAUAAUAAGCAUAUGUGUCUAGUGCCUUAGCUCGAUGAGAACUGUAUCAGAUGUUGCUGUAUUAUUAUUGUCCAGGACAAGACUAUCAUUGUAAUCACCGAUUAUGGUUUGUGUUGCAUCUUUUUUUUUGCCGGGGGUUUGUGUUG